Molecule: ribosomal RNA, 276 nt
Filed under: uncultured prokaryote
Description: partial 16S ribosomal RNA
Rfam family: Bacterial small subunit ribosomal RNA
Source: RNAcentral
CACGGGGUUGCGAGCGUUGUCCGGAAUUACUAGGCGUAAAGGGCAGGCAGGCGGAUCCAUAAGUUUAUCGUUUAAGGCGUCGGCUUAACCGGCGUAGGGCGGUAGAUACUGUGGAUCUGGAAUGCGGUUGGGGAAGACAGAAUUCCUGGUGUAGCGGUGGAAUGCGCAGAGAUCAGGAGGAAUACCGAAGGCGAAGGCAGUCUUCCAAGCCGUUAUUGACGCUCAACUGCGAAGGUGUGGGUAUCAAACAGGAUUAGAUACCCCGGUAGUCCAUGA